RNAcentral lists this ribosomal RNA (508 nucleotides) under uncultured bacterium. RNAcentral describes it as "partial 16S ribosomal RNA". The record is from RNAcentral.
GGAGUUAGCCGGUGCUUCUUCUGUGAGUGAUGUCCUUCCUGCCGGCUAUUAACCCGCAGGCCUUCUUCCUCACUGAAAGUGCUUUACAACCCGAAGGCCUUCUUCACACACGCGGCAUGGCUGGAUCAGGGUUGCCCCCAUUGUCCAAUAUUCCCCACUGCUGCCUCCCGUAGGAGUCUGGGCCGUGUCUCAGUCCCAGUGUGGCUGAUCAUCCUCUCAGACCAGCUACGGAUCGUCGCCUUGGUGAGCCGUUACCUCACCAACCAGCUAAUCCGACAUAGGCUCAUCCGAUAGCGCGAGGCCCGAAGGUCCCCCGCUUUCCCCCGUAGGGCCGUAUGCGGUAUUAGCCUGGGUUUCCCCAGGUUAUCCCCCACUACCGGGCAGAUUCCUAUGCAUUACUCACCCGUCCGCCGCUCGCCACCAGGGAGCAAGCUCCCCGUGCUGCCGCUCGACUUGCAUGUGUUAGGCCUGCCGCCAGCGUUCAAUCUGAGCCAUAAUCAAACUCUGA